RNAcentral lists this ribosomal RNA (465 nucleotides) under uncultured bacterium. RNAcentral describes it as "partial 16S ribosomal RNA". It matches the Rfam family "Bacterial small subunit ribosomal RNA", at positions 28 to 507 of the family's 1533-position model. The record is from RNAcentral.
GACGAACGCUGGCGGCGUGCUUAACACAUGCAAGUCGAACGGAAAGGCCCCUUUGGGGGUCCUCGAGUGGCGAACGGGUGCGUAACACGUGAGUAACCUGCCCUUGACUUCGGGAUAACUUCAGGAAACUGGGGCUAAUACCGGAUAGGAAUCCUUGCUGCAUGGUGGGGGUUGGAAAGCUUCGGCGGUUUUAGAUGGACUCGCGGCUUAUCAGCUUGUUGGUGGGGUAGUGGCUUACCAAGGCUUUGACGGGUAGCCGGCCUGAGAGGGCGACCGGCCACAGUGGGACUGAGAGACGGCCCAGACUCCUACGGGAGGCAGCAGUGGGGAAUAUUGCACAAUGGGCGGAAGCCUGAUGCAGCAACGCCGCGUGCGGGAUGACGGCCUUCGGGUUGUAAACCGCUUUCAGCAGGGGCGAAGCUUGUGGUGACGGUACCUGCAGAAGAAGCACCGGCUAACUACGUG